UCGGGAAUUUUGGGCAAUGGGCGAAAGCCUGACCCAGCAACGCCGCGUGAAGGAUGAAGUAUUUCGGUAUGUAAACUUCGUAAGAAUAGGAAGAAUAAAUGACGGUACUAUUUAUAAGGUCCGGCUAACUACGUGCCAGCAGCCGCGGUAAUACGUAGGGACCAAGCGUUGUUCGGAUUUACUGGGCGUAAAGGGCGCGUAGGCGGCAAUUCAAGUCAUCUGUGAAAUCUCCGGGCUUAACUCGGAACGGUCAGAUGAUACUGCUUUGCUAGAGUGCAGAAGGGGCAAUCGGAAUUCUUGGUGUAGCGGUGAAAUGCGUAGAUAUCAAGAGGAACACCUGAGGUGAAGACGGGUUGCUGGGCUGACACUGACGCUGAGGCGCGAAAGCCAGGGGAGCAAACGGGAUUAGAUACCCGGGUAGUCCCUGAGCGGGCUGGCAAGGCGCAU
This 447-nucleotide ribosomal RNA is filed under the name uncultured bacterium. RNAcentral describes it as "bacterial SSU rRNA". It matches the Rfam family "Bacterial small subunit ribosomal RNA", at positions 355 to 825 of the family's 1533-position model. The record is from RNAcentral.